GGGUGCUUAGCUCAGCUGGGAGAGCGCCGCCCUUACAAGGCGGAGGUCGUGGGUUCGAACCCCCCAGCACCCACCA
Molecule: transfer RNA, 76 nt
Filed under: Gammaproteobacteria bacterium RIFCSPLOWO2_12_FULL_52_10
Lineage: Bacteria; Pseudomonadati; Pseudomonadota; Gammaproteobacteria
Description: tRNA-Val
Rfam family: tRNA
About the family: Transfer RNA (tRNA) molecules are approximately 80 nucleotides in length. Their secondary structure includes four short double-helical elements and three loops (D, anti-codon, and T loops).
Source: RNAcentral